RNAcentral lists this unclassified non-coding RNA (699 nucleotides) under Hevea brasiliensis (rubber tree). The record is from RNAcentral. Lineage: Eukaryota; Viridiplantae; Streptophyta; Magnoliopsida; Malpighiales; Euphorbiaceae.
AAAAAAAAAAAAAAAAAAAGAUUCGAAAAUGCAAGAGAGCUCCAGCCGUCAAUUUCCAUAGAGUGACCUAGCUGUAGCUAGACCAUUCCCCAGCCUGUAUUCGGGCAGCUGCCCGUCCAUAUUUACCAAUUUGCCCUAACCCUAGCCCGUCACAGUAUAUAAUGGCCGCACUAUUACCCUUGCUUCUAUACACGCCAAUCCGUCGCAUUCCAAAAUCUCUUAUUAGCUAGCGUUUCUAUUCAAAAUUCAAGAAGUCUCCAACCAAAGCUUCAAGGAAACAAUGGCGGUUCUUUCCUGGACUUUUCUCAUUGCUGUAAUGGCUCUUCUACUUUCUGCGCUCUCUAUUCAAGCCGCUGUUCCGGAGGCUGCUCCGGCUCCCGCUCCCAUCGCUGCAGCUGGCUUGAUCUCGCCUUCUUUUGGCUCUACCUGCCUUGCUGCUGUCGUGGCGUUCUUCUUUGUCAAAGGGUUGAAGAUCUGAGAAAUAGGCGUAAGGAUAUUAUUGAUUUUUGAGAUUUACUACUCAUUUAGAGUUUAUUGUCGGGUUUAGUAAGUAGUGUUGGAUCUAGGCCGUUGGGAGUUGGUAUAUUUAUAAAAAUAUAUAAGGUUUAAGGAUUGUGAGAGUGAGAUUUUACAGUUAUGUAAUAUGUUUGGUGGUGCACAGAUGGUUAUGGAUUGACUUAUUAUUAUUAUUAUUAUUAU